UGAGGAAUAUUGGACAAUGGACGAAAGUCUGAUCCAGCCAUACCGCGUGCAGGAAGACAGCCCUACGGGUCGUAAACUGCUUUUGUUUGCCAAGAAACCUCCCCACGUGUGGGGAGCUGACGGUAGCAUUCGAAUAAGGACCGGCUAACUCCGUGCCAGCAGCCGCGGUAAUACGGAGGGUCCAAGCGUUAUCCGGAUUUAUUGGGUUUAAAGGGUUCGUAGGCGGGAAGAUAAGUCAGUGGUGAAAGCCUGUGGCUCAACCAUAGAAUUGCCAUUGAUACUGUCUUUCUUGAAUGCACAUGAAGUGGGCGGAAUGUGUCGUGUAGCGGUGAAAUGCUUAGAUAUGACACAGAACACCGAUUGCGAAGGCAGCUCACUAAAGUGUUAUUGACGCUGAGGAACGAAAGCGUGGGGAGCGAACAGGAUUAGAUACCCGUGUAGUCC
This 444-nucleotide ribosomal RNA is filed under the name uncultured prokaryote. RNAcentral's name for it is "bacterial SSU rRNA". It matches the Rfam family "Bacterial small subunit ribosomal RNA", at positions 355 to 796 of the family's 1533-position model. The record is from RNAcentral.